ACCCUGUCAGUUCCAUCCGAGGAUCGAGAAAAUUGAUGCCAAUAAAGUGUGAUAGGAAUGAUGCUAUCGUGAUUUCUCAGAAGAUGAAAAGGACCAUAGAUGUUGAAAGGGCCGUGGCAAUUAUCAAGCUGUUUAAAAAAAAAAAACUGUUUUAUUCUUAACAGUGUGAUAGCACCCGAGAAAAAAUGGCUUGGUGGUUCUAUAAAGGUUACGCGGAUACAGAAGAUUGCAUUAACAACUCUCAUAUAGUCAACUAAUGUUCUAGAAAGAGAUGUUCGGUGUAGUUUAGAGAUAAACUUUAGAAUAAAGGAAUAGGUGGCUACUUCAGAGAGCAGCAUUAUUAGCUUUGCCA
Pelobates cultripes (western spadefoot toad) is the source of this 352-nucleotide non-coding RNA. NCBI's taxonomy places the organism in Eukaryota, Metazoa, Chordata, Amphibia, Anura, Pelobatidae. The record is from the annotation of a GenBank genome assembly.